This 65-nucleotide transfer RNA is filed under the name Aphrophora sp. EMHAU-2015-Zz062722. Its description in RNAcentral is "tRNA-Phe". The record is from RNAcentral. Lineage: Eukaryota; Metazoa; Arthropoda; Insecta; Hemiptera; Aphrophoridae.
AUUUUAGUAGCUUAAGAAAAAGCGUAAUAUUGAAGUUAUUAAGAUAGUUGUUAUUCUCUAAAAUA